Molecule: long non-coding RNA, 693 nt
Organism: Pieris brassicae (large cabbage white)
Lineage: Eukaryota; Metazoa; Arthropoda; Insecta; Lepidoptera; Pieridae
Exons: 3
Source: RefSeq, a predicted model, not a curated record
GUGCAAAUCACGUGAGCCUGGAUAGAGAGCGGUCGAAUGGUGUACUAUGUGCGCAAUGCCAGCCCGACUGUAUGCGGCGAGAAUACUUCACUGAAUCAUCGCAUGUCCAUUAUAAUGUAGUCCCCUUGCAGAAACUUUUCAUAAACAAACUACUCAAUGGCAUAAACCUGAUGAACUCAACAGUUAUUCGAAUUUUCUAUGCAUCGGAGGCAAAUCAGAUCGUUUACCUGCUAGAAACCAAUCUGCGAUUCUUCGAAGAUAUUGGUUUGAAAAAUAUUUAUCAUAUCUAUACAAUAUAUAAGAAUUCACAAAGUAAUUACCAUAAUCUUACGAUAUUUAAUGAAAAUUUGCCAGCACUGAUGGGCAGCCACUGGAUUCUGCUAAGCGGCGGAAGUAUAUUUGUUAUAUUUCAAGUUAUCUACCACUGCACCAUCAGAUGGCGCCACCACCACAGACGGUCAUAACUAUUUAAAACACAGCACAGGUCAAGGAUCACUUGGCACAUCAGUGACUACGUGUGGUGGAGCUGGCGCAGACGUGGGCCUGUGUGCUGGAUUGUCACCGAUGAUUGCCGGAAUCACCUAAAAAGAAAAUGAAAAUUUAUAUAUUCUUUUCUAUUUGAAUUUUGUUUUAAACUUUUUGACGUUUUAGUCAAAUUCCUUCUUGGUCCAAUAAAAAGCAAGUUGUAUUUUA